GGGUUAGCCCCCAAAAUAUUGGGACAUAUAAAAAAAGACAACUCUGUUCCGCAGAGUAGCUGUUGUCAUUAUAGUUGCGCAUAUAUUCGUUGACUCUAGAGAACCUCGGGCCAAUCGCACAUCCCCGUGACGGCGACUUUGCAUUCGGAUGUCAUCCAUAUCAACUUUCGAUGCCAGUUUCUGCGCCUACCAUGGUGACCAUGGGUAACGGGGAAUCAGGGUUCUAUUCCGUACAGGGACCCUGAGAAACGGCUACCACAUGCAAGGAGGGCAGCAGGCGCGCAAAUGACCCACUCCCAACACGGGAAGGUAG
Molecule: non-coding RNA, 313 nt
Organism: Pelobates cultripes (western spadefoot toad)
Lineage: Eukaryota; Metazoa; Chordata; Amphibia; Anura; Pelobatidae
Source: the annotation of a GenBank genome assembly